RNAcentral lists this long non-coding RNA (915 nucleotides) under Brassica napus (rape). RNAcentral describes it as "long non-coding RNA (BNAP_LNC000023)". The record is from RNAcentral. Lineage: Eukaryota; Viridiplantae; Streptophyta; Magnoliopsida; Brassicales; Brassicaceae.
CUCCGCCGUAUCACCGCCUUGGAAGUCUUUUCAACGCAUCGACUCAACGGCUCAGCAGAAAUCCGACAAGACGAAGUCAAGAGGCUUCUACAAAAGCUUUACGGUUUAUCCGUCCAACGUCCAGCUAAAGUAGGUCCAAAUAUCUCAUCUUGAUGAAUAUCAAACUCAUAGAUAAUCAAUCAUAUUGAUUGGUUCGCAAAAAUUUGUAUUAUAUUAUAUACUUCCAUAAUACGAAAAACGAAUAAAAUCCAUUUAUUAAGUUUUAACAUAUUAUAUGAUAAUAUGUUAAAACUUAAUAAAUAUAUCAUAUAUAACAUAUUAUCAUACAUUAAGUUAAAAAAAAAAAACAUAUUAUCAUAUAUUUUCACGUCGUUUUUAGCUAUAACUACUACUUUACAGUUUACAGUUUAUUAUUUUCUUAUAAAUUAUUGACAGUUUCAAAUAGUAAAAUGUUGACAUAGAAGCAUUUUUGUAGUUAAAUUCUGUAUUGAUAAAAUAUUAAUAAAAACAAUAUGUUAUAGUUGAAUUACAAAAUGCAGUCAUUGCUGAAUUCAGCUCUAAAUCUGUCGGUGUUAAUUUUUGAUUGCACGAAUAGAAAUCUAGUUGAAAUAAAUUAUCCUGAUUUAGUAGUUGGAGAACCUACGACGGAACGUUUUCUUUCCUAUUAUACAUAUUCAGACCAAGAAAAGAAAACUUGAUCAGUUUUGAUUUUGUAUCCGGUUAAAGAUAACCAAACCAUAUCAAACCGUAACAAGACCAUAUUAUUAUUCAGGUGGAGUUGCGAACGUUACUAACGGGUCUUACCCUAAACGUUAUAAUGAGAAUGAUGACUGGAAAGAGAUUCUGCGAGGAAGAUGAAGGUGGAAAAGAGAAGAUAAGCUUGGAGUUCCAGGAGCUAGUUGCGGAGAUUCUAGA